GAGCACUGCUUUAGAGCCUCUGCGUGUCUGGCCGUGGCCUCAGGGGUCUAGCGGCAGUGCUAGAGCAGACCCUGCUUGUCAGAUCCGGGGCUGCUUAUAGGCCACCUAAGUGAUUCCUUUGGCAGCAAGCAACAUUC
Molecule: small nucleolar RNA, 137 nt
Organism: Aotus nancymaae (Ma's night monkey)
Lineage: Eukaryota; Metazoa; Chordata; Mammalia; Primates; Aotidae
Source: Ensembl